ACCUGGAUGGCUCAGUGGGUAGAGCAUGAGACUCUUGAUCUCAGGGUCAUGAGUUCAAGCACCAUGUUGGGUG
RNAcentral lists this transfer RNA (73 nucleotides) under Canis lupus familiaris (dog). It matches the Rfam family "tRNA". From Rfam's summary of the family: Transfer RNA (tRNA) molecules are approximately 80 nucleotides in length. Their secondary structure includes four short double-helical elements and three loops (D, anti-codon, and T loops). Lineage: Eukaryota; Metazoa; Chordata; Mammalia; Carnivora; Canidae. The record is from Rfam by way of RNAcentral. RNAcentral also lists the same sequence under 3 other names.